UACAGAGGGUGCAAGCGUUAAUCGGAAUUACUGGGCGUAAAGCGUGCGUAGACGGUUUUGUAAGCCAGAUGUGAAAUCCCCGGGCUUAACCUGGGAAUGGCAUUUGGGACUGCAAGGCUUGAGUGCGGCAGAGGAGACUGGAAUUCCUGGUGUAGCAGUGAAAUGCGUAGAUAUCAGGAGGAAUACCGAUGGCGAAGGCAGGUCUCUGGGCUGACACUGACGCUCAUGCACGAAAGCGUGGGGAGCAAACAGG
Molecule: ribosomal RNA, 253 nt
Filed under: uncultured bacterium
Lineage: Bacteria
Description: partial 16S ribosomal RNA
Rfam family: Bacterial small subunit ribosomal RNA
Source: RNAcentral